GCCCGGUUAGCUCAAUUGGAUAGAGCGUGAGACUCUUAAUCUCAAGGUUGCGGGUGAGUAACCAUCUAUUCGAUUCGAGAGCAAAGAGAAUCCGAUAUUAACUCUGCCAUCAUAGGUUCGACCCCCGCAUUGGGCU
Non-coding RNA from Nemania abortiva, 136 nucleotides. The record is from the annotation of a GenBank genome assembly. NCBI's taxonomy places the organism in Eukaryota, Fungi, Ascomycota, Sordariomycetes, Xylariales, Xylariaceae.